GAUGAACGCUGGCGGCGUGCCUAAUACAUGCAAGUCGAGCGAACGGACGAGAAGCUUGCUUCUCUGAUGUUAGCGGCGGACGGGUGAGUAACACGUGGAUAACCUACCUAUAAGACUGGGAUAACUUCGGGAAACCGUAGCUAAUACCGGAUAAUAUUUUGAACCGCAUGGUUCAAAAGUGAAAGACGGUCUUGCUGUCACUUAUAGAUGGAUCCGCGCUGCAUUGGCUAGUUGGUAAGGUAACGGCUUACCAAGGCAACGAUGCAUAGCCGACCUGAGAGGGUAAUCGGCCACACGGAACUGAGACACGGUCCAGACUCCUACGGGAGGCAGCAGUAGGGAAUCUUCCGCAAUGGGCGAAAGCCUGACGGAGCAACGCCGCGUGAGUGAUGAAGGUCUUCGGAUCGUAAAACUCUGUUAUUAGGGAAGAACAUAUGUGUAAGUAACUGUGCACAUCUUGACGGUACCUAAUCAGAAAGCCACGGCUAACUACGUG
This 496-nucleotide ribosomal RNA is filed under the name uncultured bacterium. RNAcentral describes it as "partial 16S ribosomal RNA". It matches the Rfam family "Bacterial small subunit ribosomal RNA", at positions 28 to 507 of the family's 1533-position model. The record is from RNAcentral.